This 127-nucleotide long non-coding RNA is filed under the name Anas platyrhynchos platyrhynchos (common mallard). Its description in RNAcentral is "lncRNA (ENSAPLG00000020541.1)". Lineage: Eukaryota; Metazoa; Chordata; Aves; Anseriformes; Anatidae. The record is from RNAcentral.
UCCAAAAACCCUGGUGUUUCCUGAGGUCUGUACAGCCGGUCACCUUGGACAGUACCGCCAUCUGCCCUGUGAUCCCUCACAUCCUCCCAGUCAACAUGAAUCCAGCUAGAUCUCAACAUUGUUGGAG